Long non-coding RNA from Myotis brandtii (Brandt's bat), 1148 nucleotides. RefSeq lists it as uncharacterized. The record is from RefSeq and is a predicted model, not a curated record. The transcript has 2 exons. Lineage: Eukaryota; Metazoa; Chordata; Mammalia; Chiroptera; Vespertilionidae.
AUAGGAAGAUUCUGUCACAGACUAUGUGCCUCCUCCAAAUGCAUGCUCCAUUCUCUCUCUGGAAUGGGCUUCUCCCCUUCCUGCUCUAUAGACAUUCUACUUAUCCUUUAUCCUUCAGAGCACGUCCAAAUGCCUCUUCCCUAAUCCCCACCUUCCCCUGGCCCUAGCAGAAUCAGUUGCUCCCACUGGCCUUUGUUUGCACUUCCAUUACAACAUUGAUCCCUCUGGAUUACAAAUCAUUGUGUGUGCUGUCUUUCCCACAAGAUGACCAGCUCCUUGAGGACAGGGAGUCCGUUACUUAUUUGAGGGUUCCCAAAGCCUAGCUAGAAUAGCCUGCUACAGAGUAGACAUUUCAGUGUAUGUUGCUGAAUUCUACUGAAAGGAUUUGCAGAAACUCAAGGUAUUGAUUUUCGACAACUGUUCACUUUGGUGUGUAAAACAGACGAAGAAAAUGAAGGAAAGAGGAUUCGAAUCCGGAAGUCUCCUAUCCCAUUAUUCUACAAGAAGGAGUGUUGGUGAUUGCACUGAAAUGCCAUUUUUAAAGAAAGAAGGGCUUCUGGACUGAAAACUGGGGCAAUGUAGGAACUGUAACCACAUAAUAGCUGCUGGUCAGUGCGUCCAUCCAAAUGGAACAAAGUACAAAAGCCACCCUGUCCCCAAAGUAAGCUUUGGAGGUGCCAGAGAAAUGAUAAGAAAAUGGCCUGUGCUCAACAAACUGCAAUUGGGAAAUGGCACUUGAAGAUCCUCUCCCACAUUUUCUCCCAGGCUUGCAUGACAUGGUAAGGAACCUCCACUUGCCAUUCUUCCUCCUGCUAAAGAAAUGGAUGUUUCCCACCACUGACUAUGAGGUCUACCCCUCCUCUCCAAUAGGGUGAGGCAGUCCACAGACCCUGGGCACCCAUCUCCGAAGGCUCAAUAUUCCUAAAUCAACCCUUUAGCAAUGUUAUUUAUUUAUUACUAACUGGGAAACAGCCUUUGGAGAGACAGAAAUAGACAGGUGCAAAGGAAAAACAACAGUUUGUUCUAUGUUUUGUUCUGUCAGCAUUUAUACUUAAUUUUACCAGUCCAAAUGGUGGUAACUUUUCUAAUGGACAAAGAAAAUUUAUUUCUCCUGCUAGUUUGAUUUUUAACUGGGAAAAUAAAGAACC